UUUACCUUCCAGUUCUGGCAGUGAACAUGCAGCUGUGUAGCACUGAGUUACUAGCUGAGGUUAAACCACAAUAGUUCCCUUUUGAUGCCCACCAUGGGAUGCAGAAGGUUCAAGAUAACAGCUUUGAUUGGAAUGUGUUAGAUGGAAUUUAUAGCCUUUAUUGCUGCUUGGCUGCUUUGGGCAGACUCCUGUGCUGGCCCUGGCCUUGAUGCUUUACAGUGCAUUAGUGUAGUGCUCAUCUGUGCCUGCUUUUUGCUUUCCCUGCUGGUGUGCGGCUGAUCCCCUCCCUCUGCUGAGCUUGGGGACAUUUUGAGGACAGCAGUGGUGAUGCACAGGGACUGGCAGAUGCCCAGGGCAUCGCUGCUGGUUCUGUGCUGCUCUACUGGACAUGCUGGAACUCUAGUGUGAGCUUCAGUCAGAGAGACUGGGACCUGUGGAUGCGUCCGUGUGGGAGCAGGAUAUGACUUCUCUGACCAUGAAUAAGUCCAUGCCAAAGCAGGCACGUCUGGAAGUGCCCGUGGCCGGGGCUGUCCGUGCCACAGCAGGGGCAGCCCUGAAGGCUUGGGGCCCAAGGACAGGCCCGUGCUGCAGCAGGUACAGCUUGAAGCACCGGGGGCUGCUCAUGAGGCCGUGCUGGAGCACCUGGAAGUGCGUGGCCAUGGAUAAACCCCCAGUGGAGCAGGAACACCCUGCAGGGCCUGCAGCCGGGCCGAGGCUCUGUUGGGCGGGUUUGCUUUCUGAGGGGACGGCGGCUGUGGGUGAGGCCGUGCUGCAGCAGAUCUGUCUCUGAGGCACUGAGGCCCAUGGACAGGGCCGUGCUGCAGCAGAUCUGUCUCUGAGGGCACUGAGGCCCAUGGACAGGGCCGUGCUGCAGCAGAUCUGUCUCUGAGGGCACUGAGACCCAUGGACAGGGCCGUGCUGGAACAGCCGCCCCUCAGAGCCCCUGUGGCUGUGGAUAAAUCCAUGCAUGUGGAUAAGGCAAUAGGUGUCCCCUGAAAAGACUGGCUCAUAGACAAGGCCCCACUUGGAGCAGGUACAGCCCUAAGGGACUGCAGUCUGUGGGUAAAUCCAAGCUGGAGUAAAGGCAAGGGGAGGAGUCCAUUGCAAUGUUAAACUCCUUCAUUGCAAGGGGUUCAUUGCAAUGAUAGGGAGUAAGAGGCUGUAAUAGAAAUUUAAAUUGUUAUAACCCAUUAUUUGAGUUGCAUAUUAUAGGAAUUACGAUAACAAGAACCAAAGUACCUAUGAAGGAGAAGCCUUACAAGAAACAGACUCCCUUUGCAGAUGGACUUUCUGGAGAUUGGCUAAGGCAUUUUGAUGCAGCCCACUGCAGUUCCCUGAAGUAAGGAAUACUCUGGGAGCUGAAAACAGCAGUGCUGAUAUCCUGGCCCAGAAUCUCCAACCUCAGUUUAACAUACUGAAACACUUGAGAGGCACCAAGCUCCUUUUCACCAAUGUGGCUGCCACAGAUGCCAACACUUUCUUGCUGAAAGCAGAAAACUACAGAGACAGAUACAUAUCAUCCAUAUGCUCAUCUAAAGACUACAUUAAAGAUUUGCUGUCCCUUGGCACACCAGUGCUCAGGGAAAGGCACCCUUUGACAGCCAGAUCUGUGCAAUGCACUCAUGUUCUGGUCGAGCAAUCCAAUUGCAAGUGGGAGAGAAGGAGAAGAGAGGGAUGAGGAGAGCAGAAGAGAAAAGCAGAUUGUGGAGCAAGAAGUGUUGGUCACUGAGAGCUCUGCAUAAGCAAGUGGGACGCUGGUAAAAAUCUCAGCAGAGAAAGCACAGACAGCAGUACAACACAAUGUGUUUUUACUGUAUCCAGCUGCACUUAGAUGUCAGGCUGCUGUGCCCUACCCUCGACUCUAGAGCAUCUGUGAAGUACCAAGGUGUGCCCCAAAAGGGCAGUGAUCCACAGAAUUCUCACUGUAUCCGGAGGUACACAUAGGAACAUGUACAUGAGUAUGUAAGGAUGGAUGAAGUUGCAGAAUAGCUGUCAUUUUUCCAGGAAAGGGUUAUCAGGCAAAGAGGAUCCUUUAAAUGUUUUGUGUUCCAUACUGCACAAAAACCUAUCAGCAUACACUUGUUUUAAGCAGCUCAUACUGCCCAGC
Non-coding RNA from Cyanistes caeruleus (blue tit), 2107 nucleotides. The record is from RefSeq and is a predicted model, not a curated record. Lineage: Eukaryota; Metazoa; Chordata; Aves; Passeriformes; Paridae.